UUAAUUACCGGCUUUGAGAAUAAUCGAGCAGAGAAGUUGAACCUGGAGCAGAUUGAAGGAUUUCGCCGUUCAGGUAGGCCGUCUUCUAAGAUCCCAGUUGUGGAUGGAUACAAGGACUGAUGAGCCACGGUGACAUGGAUCUGGGGCAUGAUGCCCCUCUAACUGCAGCCUCAGGCCAAUCUCCACCUGACCAUGGGAAUGUUGAGUUCAGCCAGACCUCUUGUCAACCAGCUACCUACAAGAACCACCUGUGUGAUGACACUGUUUAUUGUGUCAUCUUUUAUUUGUGAAGCAUUUUGAACACCAGUUAAACCAAGUCAUUCAGCUUUGUUCAUUCACUAAAUAAAGCUGAAUAGAAUUUAUUCAGGAAUUCACAAAGUCCCGGUUAGAUCCAACAUUGAUUGGAUUGCAUAUAUUUCAGUUACAGAAACAAUUUUUCUUGUAUAUGAAAGAAACUUUCAGAGACUUAAUGCUGUAAAUUGUACAAGGAAUGCUCUGCAUUAUUAAAAAUAUAAUU
Molecule: long non-coding RNA, 517 nt
Organism: Centropristis striata (black sea bass)
Lineage: Eukaryota; Metazoa; Chordata; Actinopteri; Perciformes; Serranidae
Exons: 3
Source: RefSeq, a predicted model, not a curated record